GACGAACGCUGGCGGCGUGCUUAACACAUGCAAGUCGAGCGGAAAGGCCCUUUCGGGGGUACUCGAGCGGCGAACGGGUGAGUAACACGUGAGUAAUCUGCCCUUGGCUUUGGGAUAACUACCGGAAACGGUGGCUAAUACCGGAUAUGACCAUGCUCGGCAUCGGGUGUGGUGGAAAGUUUUUUCGGCCAGGGAUGUGCUCGCGGCCUAUCAGCUUGUUGGUGGGGUAAUGGCCUACCAAGGCUUCGACGGGUAGCCGGCCUGAGAGGGUGACCGGCCACACUGGGACUGAGACACGGCCCAGACUCCUACGGGAGGCAGCAGUGGGGAAUAUUGGACAAUGGGCGGAAGCCUGAUCCAGCAACGCCGCGUGAGGGAUGACGGCCUCGG
Molecule: ribosomal RNA, 390 nt
Filed under: uncultured bacterium
Lineage: Bacteria
Description: bacterial SSU rRNA
Rfam family: Bacterial small subunit ribosomal RNA
Source: RNAcentral